GGGGCUGACCUGGUUUUGACAGCAAGCCGUGAUGGUAUGUAAGCAUGCAGAGAGUGGUGACGCAUCUCUUUAACUUGUGUCUCACAACAAUAAUUGGCGAGAAUAACUACGCUCUUGCUGCUUAACUGAACUAAGUAAGUUAAGCUUUAUUCCGGUACCAGGUACUGGAACGAGACGCUUCCCGGGCGGUGACGCCCUGUACCAACCCGAUAAGGAGGCGCACGCAAUUCAGGGAUUGUCCGAUGGUUUCUCCGGCCUGAGGAUGAAAUAAAGGAGAUAAGGAAAGAUUCGGUUGCCUGGCACCUCGUCUCUCCCGACAAUCAAGUCAGGAUAAGCAUGUAGAAAGCAUAUGAUUGCCUUGCCUGGACGCGGGUUCGACUCCCGCCAGCUCCACAU
This 396-nucleotide transfer-messenger RNA is filed under the name Bacteroidales bacterium. It matches the Rfam family "transfer-messenger RNA". From Rfam's summary of the family: Bacterial tmRNA, also known as 10Sa RNA or SsrA, is named for its dual tRNA and mRNA-like properties. Lineage: Bacteria; Pseudomonadati; Bacteroidota; Bacteroidia; Bacteroidales. The record is from RNAcentral.